RNAcentral lists this ribosomal RNA (253 nucleotides) under uncultured bacterium. RNAcentral's name for it is "partial 16S ribosomal RNA". It matches the Rfam family "Bacterial small subunit ribosomal RNA", at positions 524 to 776 of the family's 1533-position model. The record is from RNAcentral.
UACGUAGGCGCCAAGCGUUAUCCGGAUUUACUGGGCGUAAAGCGUCCGCAGGUUGAUUUGUAAGUCUGAUGUUAAAGAUCCCGGCUCAACCGGGAGAAGGUACCAGAAACUGCAAGUCUAGAGGCCAGUAGGGGCUGUCGGAACUUAUCGAGUAGGGGUAAUAUCCGUUGAUACGAUAAGGAACACCAAAGGCGAAGGCAGACAGCUGGGCUGGCCCUGACACUCAGGGACGAAAGCGUGGGGAGCGAACGGG